AUUGAACGCUGGCGGCAUGCUUUACACAUGCAAGUCGAACGGUAACAGGUUAAGCUGACGAGUGGCGAACGGGUGAGUAAUGCAUCGGAACGUGCCCGAUCGUGGGGGAUAACGCAGCGAAAGCUGCGCUAAUACCGCAUACGAUCUGAGGAUGAAAGCGGGGGACCGUAAGGCCUCGCGCGAUCGGAGCGGCCGAUGUCAGAUUAGGUAGUUGGUGGGGUAAAGGCUCACCAAGCCAACGAUCUGUAGCUGGUCUGAGAGGACGACCAGCCACACUGGGACUGAGACACGGCCCAGACUCCUACGGGAGGCAGCAGCGGGGAAUUUUGGACAAUGGGCGAGAGCCUGAUCCAGCAAUGCCGCGUGCAGGAAGAAGGCCUUCGGGUUGUAAACUGCUUUUGUACGGAGCGAAAAGGCCCUCUCUAAUACAGUGGGCUCAUGACGGUACCGUAAGAAUAAGCACCGGCUAACUACGUGCCAGCAGCCGCCGUAA
This 493-nucleotide ribosomal RNA is filed under the name uncultured bacterium. RNAcentral's name for it is "partial 16S ribosomal RNA". It matches the Rfam family "Bacterial small subunit ribosomal RNA", at positions 29 to 523 of the family's 1533-position model. The record is from RNAcentral.